RNAcentral lists this long non-coding RNA (10812 nucleotides) under Mus musculus (house mouse). RNAcentral describes it as "predicted gene, 49774". The record is from RNAcentral. Lineage: Eukaryota; Metazoa; Chordata; Mammalia; Rodentia; Muridae.
CCAGCUGCCGCCGCCGCGCGCGGGUAGCUCGCCACUGUGCGCGCGGUUUCCGCGGGCACGCGCGCCGACGGCCCUCGUUUCUCACAGUUCCCGAGCAGCCUGGCGUUGGAGGAACCGGUGACGGCGGCCCUGCUGUUUAAGUGGGGACCCGGGGACACACCUACAGGAGCCCCCCCGUGGACUCCGGCCUCGCGGGGAGGCGCGCGCUGACGCCUGUGCCCUCGGACGUCCACGCGUACCCUAAGGAGCUUCUCGCGGCCCGGACGCCGCCCCCCCCCCCCAGCCCAUGUCGAGGGCCUCUCCUUAAUUCCCCUCUGCCACCAAGCAGGUGACGGCGUGUGCGUCUCCGGAGGCCUCCAGGCGCGUAAAAAACAAAGUCUUGUGAAACCCAAACGUGAAACUUGGCCAACGCCAACGGUUUAAAUCUAGUAACGGCCGCCACCCAGGUGCAGGCUUCAAAGGAGCCGAGCGAUUGGCCGCCUCGCCGGGACAUCGCGGGGAGGAGCCACGGGUGGCCAGCUGCUUGGUGUUGAGGAAGCACGAGGUCCCUCUGGUGUGAUUCCCCGCCCCCGUGACUUACGACUUAAGACAAGGGGCGCCUGGAAGCCCCUUGAGGGCAGGGGUUCGAGUUUCCCGCCUCUGGGCGCCUGGGUCAACAAAAGACUUGUUGCUGGGCCGGAGGAAGCCUAAGUGGGAAGAUGGCGGGCGGUGGGGCGCGCCCUGCAGGCCGGGCGCGGGCCCUUGGACGCACCUCCCCACCUCGGUUCCCCGAGUCGGCCUUUCCACACCUCUCGUGAUGCAGGGAAUCGUAAUUCGGGCCCAGUGACACACGACUGUGACUCAUAACUCUGUUCCCCUUCCUCCGCGGUCAGCCCUCUCCUCGGGGGGCGCGCGGGCGGUGGAAGGGUACGCGGGGGCCCAGCGUGCGCCCGGCUGGAGGCGGGGUGGGAGCCUUGGGGAGGCGGGCCUCCCAGUUUCAGGAAUGCCUCAGGAAUGUUUCCGGUGGGGGGUGGGGAGCGCGGCGGGCCCGGCUACCCCCCACCCCCCACCCCCGGGCCGUAGGAUGGCGCCCUGGGCGCAGGGCAGCACGUGCUCGGUGGGGGUGGGGCGCAGCGGUCAGGCGCGGGAGGCCACGGCAGGCCGCGGGUCCCGGACCAAGGUCCAGGUGACCCUCAGUUCCAGGGGUGCCCCUGGAGAAGGAGGAAGUCAUGGAGGGGCGUUCCCAACGGGUGGAGGGGAGCCUAGGGCGCCGGGGCAGUCUGGGGGAGGAGCGGCUGCCCCUUUGUGUGCAACCGCCGUGGGGGCGGGGCGGGGUGGAAGCGCGCCGCGCCCUCCAUCUUUGUGCCCCGCGAGCCGAGUUGGCUGGAGGGGCUCGAAGUUGCUGCGAGCUCUGGGGACCUUCGUAGCGAGGUGUGGCUGAGCAAGCUGCCAACUCCCACCAACGCCAGCCCACAUCCUCCCAUGGUACAGGUCAUUGCCAGCAGCCUAGGCCACUAGGCCCUUGCUGUGGUGUUGAAGGGGGAGAGUUUGGGAAUGGCCCCGCGGGCCCUUUUCCUCCGACGUAGUAGUGGCCCCUGGGCGGACACUGCCUCUGACCUGUGUGUACCAGAAAAGGAUACCCUUCCUUCCUGGAUGGGCUUUCGGAAAGCUUCGCCAAUUGCUUGGCCCACUUCUAGUAAACUGGCUUGAUCGUAUUUUUCUGCUUCUUUUCAUCCUGAUAUGCUCACCGGCCGGUUUUGUGUCUUGUGUUUUUGUAAUCGACCCAAGACCCUCUCUAGAAGUAGGCAAACACAAUAGUUUGUCUCCCUCCUGCCUUGCCCACUCCAGAAACAAACAGUUCCGCCCACUGACCCCCAUGCAGAUACCUCCGUGCUCUUCGGCUUGCGCACCCUGUAUCCCAUUCCUCUCCUUCUGCAAUGAUAUUUAAGCUUAAGAGUGAUGGGGGGUGGGGGGACGGUAAGGAGUUCUAUCGAACCUCCUGACUGUAAUGAAAGAAGACCAGACAAGAGGCAGCGGUGAUGUUGAAAACCCGUUUUUGACUUCCAAGUUCUUAGGGCACAGUGAGUGACACAAAGUCCUGUGUGCUUUUAAGCUUAGACUUAGGGCAGGAACCUAAAGACCUAGUAGGAGAUGCAGGAAGCACUGGUUAGUGGCCUGAACAGGACUUCCUUGCAACUGGAGAGUGGAUGGGUCCGGUACAGGAGGCAAGUGGGGGGUGAGUUCUGGGCCUGUAUCUAAGUUGUCUUCCAUGCCCUUCUCCGGUAAGCACUGACCUUCAGAGAUCCCAACUGGAAUGUCAGGGAUCCAAUGACCUGCGUCCCAGGCUAGCAGGUUAGACUUUGUUAAGAAUAGCUCACCCGUUAAAGCUUGGAAGGAUUGGUAGGGAGAGUUCCCCCUAGUUUGAGACCUGUUGUUCCCUGAAGGGUACAGCAAGGGACUGUCUGGUGUUCUGUGUCUCUAAUUUCCAUGUAAGGAUGGGGUGUAUCUGACUCGGUAACCAAACCAGGACACUGAAAAGAGGUCACCUGGAACAGAAGACCCUACCUAGUUUUGGGACUCAAACUGCAAUAAACAAAGGACUGAGGGACAGGUGUGGCAGCAGAGGGACACAGGCUUUAUGAGUUCCAGGACAGCUAGGACUGUGUAGAGAGACCCUGUCUUAAAAGGGGAGUGUUGGGGGAGCAUGGUGGUAGGAUGCUGCCAAGGCCAUGUAACAGACCCUGUCCCAAAAAAUAAAGGGAGUUAUGGGGGCACACUUUUACCUUCAGCCUCCAGGAGGAUCUCUGUGAGUUUGAGCCCACCCCCCCACCCCCCCCCACCCCCGGUCUACAUACUGAGUUCCAGGACAGCCUAGUGAGACCCUGCCUGAAACAAACCAAAAAAAGCUCUAGCGAUGGUCCAGCUCAGUGAAGGUGCUUGUGGCUAAGCCUGAUCGCCCGAGUUUCAUCCUGGAAUCUCAGAUGGUGGAGAAGGAGAAGCAACCAGAGGUUGACUUGACAGGUUUACAUGUGCCUGCCCCCAUCACAUACAUGUAAGAGAGAUAAAAGUGUAAGUUACCCAUUGUUGACAAUUGUGUGUGCACUGAGACAUAAGGAUUGCCACAAGUUUCGCAGCCAGAUUGCACUAUACUGCAAGUACUUUCCACUGUAAUAUUGGAUUUAAAAAAAAAAAAAAAGACCUUCUAAAAAUAAGAAAUUACAUGUUUUAUUUUAUUUAUUGUGCCAAGACCAAGGAGCAGGUCUACUUCCUCCCUGACAGAGCCAAAGUCUUACCUGUUUGUGCCCAAGCAUGUUGGUGACAGUGGCUUUUACAGUGUGGGCACACGGACUCACUUCCUUCCUCGGCCUUUGGCCAGGCGGACACCACGCCACAGCACGUGGCUGCAGAGUUCACCCACAAGGCCCCAGGCUUCCCAAAUGUGAAUGUCCCGCAGUUUGUUUACCCUGGUCUGUGGAAGGGUUUCUGGAUAGUUGCUGGUUCUGGCUGGUACAUCGAGUGCUACCAUGGCUGUGGCAGGGCUCCCAGUGAGCAGAUCUGCACAUUUCUAUCGGGUGCGUGCCUAGGAGAGGAACUGCUGGACCACAGUUGGUGCGUGCCGGGUUUCAGCAGACGUGCAGGACGCUACGGAGUGACAGGGCCACUCAUCACGGCUAUGAGCUCACAGCAGGCAUCAACCUGACCUAGCCCAAACCAGCGAACACUGACUGACCCACACCAGCCAGUGUUAGGUUGGCUCACAGUGCUGGCCCUAGGCCAUAUCAACCAGGUCUGAUCCUUGCCAGCCACUAUUGGGGCCACUCUGACACGAGGUGCUUGCCCACUCUCCUGGAGUCACCCAGCUACCAGUGCAUCUGGUCCUCUGGCAGGAUCAGACCUCAGAACCCUGCUGACCACAAACUCUGUUGCCAGGAAGCCUGGCCGGCUGGAGGGGAAGGAGGGCCUCUUCUGGUUCCAACUUUCGAGGGAAAACCAAGAUGUUUCGAGAGAACAAGAGGGGGGAGCAGCUCUCUGCCUGCCUUUCUCCCUGCUGUGAGAUCCAGGACUCGAACACACACACACACACACACACACACAGAAGGAGAGAGAGAGAUUGGGACUAUCAAUCCCCAGCAAACCCAGCUCUAUCUAACCUCAGGAAACACUGAGGAAGAGGGAUUAUUGAACAAGAACAGAGCCACGAGGGUCUUUCUCUUUACUCUCUGUCUCCCCCAUCAGGGAACACUAUUCCCACCCCAAUCCCAAGGCAAUGAAAAAAGGAAGCUUGGGCCAGGCAUGGGGGGGUGGGUUGAGGAGAUGGGGGGCGGCAGGCUUUAAAACCCAGUACAGAGGAGGCAGAAGCAGGCAGAUCUCUCUGCGUUCAAGGCCAGCCAGAGAUUCUCAAAAGCAAACAAAACGCUUAGGCUUUUGCCCCUUUCAGCCUAAGAGAUUUCUCUCCCGGCACCGGGAUCGGCACCAGCUGGACCAGAGUAGCUCCCCUUGUAUACUCAAGGCACUUAUGUUGAAGGGAAGGAUGGGGGACAGAAAGGACCCGGGCAACAUCGCCGAUGGACUUAGUCUGUGCUGUGGAAGCACAAACAGGGACCCAGGGCCUGGGUCGGGGAAGCAGGCAGGUUGAGACCAGACAGGUUGGACGUCUGUCCAGCAUAGGAAUAGGCUAGGCUUGGGAGUAGAGAGGCAAGCAAGGUGGCAUUCAGUCCCAUUCCCCACCCCCACCCCAACACCUCUGAAGCUACUGCUUCAAAUGCUAGGUUUCAGUAACAGACAAAAGGGGAAGCGGCUCUCCAGCGCUCCCACCAGGAGCGCUGAGGAACGCCCAGUUGCCAGUGUUUAUGGGGUCAGAAUACAGGUAUGGUGACAGGCAGGCUUCCUGUCCCUGCCUUCACUGGGGCAGAGGCCAGCAGCUCAGGCCUGUUCUAGGAGGUCCAGCCUGCUCCUCCAGUUUCCCAGCAGUUCUGUAAGCACCCGUUCUGAAUCUCUUCCUACCUGAAAGGCAAGACCUCUUCUGGCUUAGGAGCCUCAGGGCGUGAAGUCUGGCAGUGGUGAUGCAUACCUUCUGUCCAGCACUCCGGAGGCAGACACAGGCAGAUCUCAACCGGUUGAAGGCCAGCCUGGUCUACAUGGUAAGUUCAGGUCAGUCAGUAAUACAUAGUGUAUCCUAUUUUAAAAAGCAGCAGCAGUAAUAACAACAACAAAAACCUGCCUGCCUGUUCCCUCCCUGUCUAUUUAACUGUUGUCAGUGAAUGGUCCGAAUGCUCUUCUUGUCUGGAGAGACAAGACAAGGACUGUAUGCCCUAUCAUUUGUGCAGUCUGCCCAAGACCAAGCGCAGUGUUCAGUGUCUGCUAUCCAUUGGUAUUUAGUACCAGGACACCUAUCCCUAACCCUCAAGGCAAACUGAAGGCAGAAGACUAACUGUCCUAGGAUGGUCUAGCCUGAGACAUGACAGGGCUCCUGCACCCUCAGGAGGAGCCCACCUGUCCUUUGUCACCAUGAGAAGGUGUCAUCUCCUGUCUUCACCUGACAGUUCCAUAGCCUUUUAUCAGAGGGACUGACAUCGUUGCUCAAUGGGCAUUAGAGAGAGAAUGUCUCUAGCUGCCAAGGAGAACUGAGCUGGGGAAGUCUGAGGUGUUGUAUUGUUGUUUGCAGCAGCAGCAGCAGCAGCAGCAGCAGCAGCAGCAGCAGCAGCAGCAGCAGCAUCUGUUUUUUUGUUUCCAAGACAGGGUUUCUCUGUGUCAGGCUGGCCUUGAACUUAGAGACCCACCUGUCUCUGCACCCCCCCCCCCCAGUGUUGGAAUUUAAGAGGUAUAUCACUUGGGGCUGGAGAGAUGGCUCAGUGGUUAAGAGCACUGACUGCCGCCGGGUGGUGGCACAUGCCUUUAAUCCCAGCACUUGGGAGGCAGAGGCAGGCGGAUUUCUGAGUUCGAGGUCAGCCUGGUCUACAGAGUGAGUUCCAGGACAGCCAGGGCUACACAGAGAAACCCUGUCUCAGAAAAAAAAAAAAAAAAAAAAGAAGAAGGAGGAGGAGGAGGAGGAGGAGGAAGAAGAGGAAGAGGAAGAAGAGGAAGAUGAAGAAGAAGAAGAAAGUAGUGUAUCACCAUGCCUGACUGAGUGAGAUCUUUGAAGAUCAAAUACUUUUCCUUUGGCCCAAAGGAGCUUGUAGAGGUACCAGCCACCUAUUGAAUUCAGAGCCCGUGUAUUUCCUAGACUGGGGACCCCAGGCCACCUUGAAACCUUUCUCAGGGUUGAGAAAACAGUCCUGGUCUCUGUUUGGGGAUAUGUGGCCUGGAUAUGUGUGUGUGUGUAGGGUGUCUACCAAUCAGGUUGUAGAAGCACAAAAACGUUGUGUAGUCAAACAAGAGGCAAGUGUUAGGGAGUGAGCACGGUGGUUGUGGAGGGACCAGCAGGUCUUGUGGGGCGGGGCAGUGAGCACACUCCAGGGGAUUUAUUAACCUCCUAGGCUUGGUUUUCUUCAUCUUCAACCCCAGCAAGCUGGACACCAGGCCCAAGGCCUAACUGUGAGUGUAAGUCUGGUGAAUGGAUGGGUGGGCUGAAGGCCUCCUGAGGGCUGGAGGAGGUAGGUAGCUGGGGGUGGGCAUAAGGGAGGGGAGCUAGCUCCUGGUAGGAGAUGGGGGUGGGGGCUGGAGCUGUGAAGUUGGCCUGGAAUCUAGCCUGGAGCGGGCAGCAGAGAGCCCUGCUUUCCCAUCUUCCUGGUCUUCAUCCAUCCUGUGCUUGCCAGGCCUGUCCCCACUGCAGGGCUCACUGUGACUUCCAGGACCCAGUCUCCCUUGAGACUGGCUCAGGCAGCCUCUUUGCAUUCUCCUUUCUAGGGACCUAACCACAGCACCACACAUCAGUGGCUCGCCAAGAUAAAAUCUCCUGGGAGCAGGCAGUGGGCUCUAGGCGUGGGUUAACUCGCACUGGGGAUCCUCUACAGCCCUAAAUCAUCUGGUGGGGUGAACAGAGAAUCCCGAGAUAGUCAUGCUGACACUGGCCAGCCAUUCCAGUUCUUGGGGGCAGUGCUAGGCGGGAGCCGCUGACAGCCAGGUUUCUGGGUCACCAUCCAGGGUGCCCUGCCAGUUCCCAGGCCUGGGUGAGGAGCAUGUGCGCUCUGCCACUGAAGCUCAUGCCCCUCUGCUGCCUUUGUCCUUGUCCUUUGGGGCGUGUUCCCAUCCCCCACCUCUAGUCUGGCAGCAGCCUCAGCCCUGAGCGAGCUCAGGGGCCCCCAAGGAGGGGCUAGGUGCUGACCAUCAGAGAAUUCCUGGGUUGGUAGAACUGAUGUAAAAAAGACUCAAAGCCCCCUACCAACAAUGGUCUCUCUUGUUUGGCAGGAGCCUGCCCCUCCAGCCUACUGCUCAGAUGGGCUCCUCUUCCAGAGGAUCUGCUGCCGGAAGACAGAGCAGAAAAAGGACAUGUUCCCACAGAGAUGGAUUGAGGUUGCCCACCUGAUGUCCCGGCUCACACAAGGUCCGUCUGAAAAGGGUGGCCUCCCCUGGAAAUGUACCUCCCUUCCUAAGAUCUCAGCAGUCAUACAGUCAGGCUGAGACCCAAGAGUUAGUGCAUCUCACAAAGGACGGGUGAGAGGUCCAGGGGCCAUGGUGGGGGUGGAGGUUGGGGCAUCUUAGGCCGUCCUUGGUGUGGGUGUCUCAGGCAGCUGGUGAGGUGGGAUAAAUCUCCUGGGGGACCGUGUUGUUUUGGGACACCCCCCCCCCCACACACACAUCAUUUAGAGAAGGGAAUGGGCCCAGCAAGGAUCAGGUCAAAGCUGAGGGCUCUAGGGAUGCCAGUCCUCCUGUGAUGCUGUCCCCACUGCCCUGGCCAGCACAUAGGGCCAGCCCCUCCCCCAACAUGUGACCCUUUAUUGUACUUGAGGAGGGAGCUGCUGGAUGUGUAGCCUCCAGGACGAUGGAUUCAGGUGCAGGUCUCUCUUCCUGCCAUGCAGGUUCACCAGCUAGGGUAUCUGCCUCCUGCUCCGUGAGGUGAUUUCAGGUUUUUUUUUUUUUGUUGUUGUUGUUUUUUUUUUUUUUUUUACAUUUUGUUGUGGCUUCUAGAAUGUUUAGAUGUGGUCUCUCUCUGUCUCUCUCUCUGUCUCUGUCUCUGUCUCUGUCUGUCUGUCUGUCUGUCUGUCUCUCUCUCUCUCUCUCUCUCUCUCACACACACACACACACACACACACACACACAAUCCUAGCACUUAGGAAACUGAGGCAGGAGGAUUGUGGCAAAAAAAUCUAAAAGCAAUAGGCAGUCCCAAGCUUUAAUCCCAACCCACUUGGUCUUUACAAGGUUAAUCUGGUCUACAUAGUGAGUUCUGGACCAGCCAGGGCUACACCGUGAGACCCUGUUUCCAAAACAAACCCACAAACAUAAAAUACUCACACACAUAAAAUGAGCAAGUCUUUAAAAAAAAAACAAAGUCAACUAAAAAAGAACAUUCAACAUUCCUUGGGUGAGCCUGAACCUCUGCAGCACAGUGGCUGGCCUAGAUAAUUCUCUGUAUUUAUGGCUUGCUGGUGCGAUCCCUGAGCCCAGAAUGCCCUCUCCUUUUGUUGUUUGAGGCAGGGUCUCACUAGUUCAAGACUGGGCUGGCCUUGAACUCACAGAUACCUGCCUGCCUCUGCCUUCUAAGUGUGGAAACCCCUGUGAGCCAGGACAUCUGCGCUUGGCAAGGCAAGUGUAAACAUACCUUGUUCACUGUCUUAGCUCAGGUCCUGAAAACCUGGCACAGAGUAGGUGUUCAGAAUUUCCGCCAUCUAAGGGAAAAGUUCAUUUGGGGACAACCUGGGGGCAGCAGGGUGAGGAACUUUCACUGCCUGCCCUAGCACCUGGGCACACCUGACACAAAGGACCUGUAAGGUGGCUUGGAAGACUGCCAAGGGUCAUUCUAAUACUGCCACUCUGUGGACAGGUGUAUGCUGGGGCCCUGGCUGUGUCCUAGGGAGGCUAGGGUAACUGAUCCUCCCAGUGCCUGGGGCAUCUGGAGCUGGAGGCUGGGUGCCCAUGGCUCAGGCUCACACAAGGUCAGUGUGUCAAAGGGACAUGGAACACACUUUCUCUUUCCCCGAGAUUCCAUCACACUGUGAAAGCCCCUUCCGCAGGGACUUCCCUCCCGGCCUGACUCAGGCUGCCUCACGCCCCGUGACUCAGGCAGGAGCCUUGCCAGCCCAGCCCCACAUCCUGCACUGCUCAGUCCAGAAGACGGCCUGAGCCAGGGAUAGGAGCUGGUAAGAGCCUCCCGGAUCCCCAGUGGAGACCCACCACAGCCCCAGCUGAAGUAAACCAUGAGCUUGGUGUGGUGCUGCAGUCCUGUGAUCUCGGCACUCUGGAGAACCAAGAGUUCAAGGCUGUCCUAGGCUCGACAUCGGGUUCAAGGCCAGCCUGGGCUUCAUUCGAGCUAAAUACAAAACUGUAAUAAAGUCCAUGGCUGGGUGUGAAUGCACAGGCCUGAAAUUCCAGAUCUCGGGAGACAGGGGUAAGAGGGACCCUGCAAGUUCAAGGCCAGCCUGCUGUACCAGCCAGGGAACAUAAAUGAGCAAAUGAAAAAGAAAGAACACAGAGACUGAACUCCAGGAGGCACAAAGUUAUCAGGAGGGGGAAACCCCAGAGGGACUAACCAAGCAACCUGUUACUCUAGACGGAGGAAAGUCAAAAUGCAAGACCAGGAGGAGAGAGCAGGGCCAGCAUUGGGGGAAGGACUCGGUGAGCAUCCCUGGGAGACCAGGAUACAGGAGGUGCUGGCCCACACUGGCCGCUUCCUGGCUUCCUGCCCCCUGCUGCCCCCCCGGGACCUCUCCAGGGAGACUGACAAGAACUCCAGCUGAGGACCUUGCUUUCUCUCAUCUGCUUUUCCAACUCUGUCCUUGGGUCUCAGUCUUGUGGACUGCAGAAUGGAUGGGCCCUGGAGAGGCGAGACAGCCACAGAACCGUAUCUGCAGCUUUGGUCCUUAGCCCGGCUGCUCCCUGAGGGCCACUGGGGAACCCAGCAUCUUUGUUUUUUCUAUUGGAGGAGCAUCGUGGAACAGAGGCAGUUUGCUGAGCUGGUGCAGGUCAGGGAGGAGGCAGUCGGGGCAGCUUCCCUCCCAAGCGCCAAGUCUCAGAGCGACAGUCGGACAGUCGGAUCCGUGUAGCUGGCUUACAGCUGAGUGGGGCAGCGAGGGGGUGUAAAUUUCUCAAGACCACGCAGGAAAGUGGGACCCCCUACCUAUCUGGUUCUAAAUCGAUCUCUCUAAACCUUUCCUGGAAAUGGGUGUGUGUGGCUCGGUGCUGAGGGGGCUUUGCAUGAAGCCAGCUGCCAACCCCAGUAGUUCAAUACCAAUGCAAGUCUCCAAGCUUCGGGGGAGGGGCAUCACUUCCGGGAGAGCGAUGGAGGUGUGAGCAGAGCUUGGGGAGCCAAAGCCCGGAGCGCACCAGGCCCUUUCUCGGGCAGGAUUAGGAAAGAGUCAGGGACUUGUAUCCCAGAGUCGGAUGUUUGACCCACUACCAGCACAGUAAAGUCAAGAAGGAGAAAGGUCCACAGAGAGAGCGGGGAAGGUGACCUAUGAUGCGAUGUUUCAUAAGGACCCGUGCGGGAGCCCAGAGUCAUGGGUCGUCCCAGGCCUGGGAUGAUGGCAUGCCAGGGUGUUAGCAGCCAGCGCGUAUAGAGGCAAAGCCUGCUUAGGACAGGGUUUCACUUAUUGGUUUUCUGGCCGUUCUCUGGCCUCAGCCUCCCGAGGGGUGGGAUUUUGUUGGUGAGCUAAUGUACUUGGCUUCUCUUGUUAUUUAUUUCUUUGCUUAUUUAUUUAUUUAUUUAUUUAUUAAAAUUAAAAAUUUUUAAAAGAU